RNAcentral lists this ribosomal RNA (253 nucleotides) under uncultured bacterium. RNAcentral's name for it is "partial 16S ribosomal RNA". It matches the Rfam family "Bacterial small subunit ribosomal RNA", at positions 524 to 776 of the family's 1533-position model. The record is from RNAcentral.
UACAGAGGUCUCAAGCGUUGUUCGGAUUCAUUGGGCGUAAAGGGUGCGUAGGCGGCGCGGUAAGUCGGGUGUGAAAUCUCGGAGCUUAACUCCGAAACUGCAUUCGAUACUGCCGUGCUUGAGGACUGGAGAGGAGACUGGAAUUUACGGUGUAGCGGUGAAAUGCGUAGAUAUCGUAAGGAAGACCAGUGGCGAAGGCGUGUCUCUGGACAGUUCCUGACGCUGAGGCACGAAGGUCAGGGGAGCAAACGGG